UCAAAACUUUUCAGCUAGAGUAUGAUAGAGGAAAGCAGAAUUUCUAGUGUAGAGGUGAAAUUCGUAGAUAUUAGAAAGAAUACCAAUUGCGAAGGCAGCUUUCUGGAUCAUUACUGACACUGAGGAACGAAAGCAUGGGUAGCGAAGAGGAUUAGAUACCCUCGUAGUCCAUGCCGUAAACGAUGUGUGUUAGACGUUGGAAAUUUAUUUUCAGUGUCGCAGGGAAACCGAUAAACACACCGCCUGGGGAGUACGACCGCAAGGUUAAAACUCAAAUGAAUUGACGGGGACCCGCACAAGUAGUGGAGCAUGUGGUUUAAUUCGAAGAUACGCGCAGAACCUUACCAACACUUGACAUGUUCGUCGCGACUCUAAGAGAUUAGAGUUUUCGGUUCGGCUGGACGAAACACAGGUGCUGCAUGGCUGUCGUCAGCUCGUGUCGUGAGAUGUUGGGUUAAGUCCCGCAACGAGCGCAACCCUCACUUUUAGUUGCCAUCAUUAAGUUGGGCACUCUGAAAGAACUGCCAGUGAUAAGCUGGAGGAAGGUGGGGAUGACGUCAAGUCCUCAUGGCCCUUACGUGUUGGGCUACACACGUGCUACAAUGGCAUCUACAAUAGGAAGCAAAACGGCAACGUUAAGCAAAUCCCGAAAAGAUGCCUCAGUUCGGAUUGCACUCUGCAACUCGAGUGCAUGAAGCUGGAAUUACUAGUAAUCGUGGAUCAGCGUGCCACGGUGAAUGCGUUCCCGGGUCUUGUACACACCGCCCGUCACACCAUGGGAGUUGGUUCUACCUUAAGGCAAGGUUUUAAACCCUUGACCACGGUAUAGUCAGCGACUGGGGUGAAGUCGUAACAAGGUAACCAA
This 865-nucleotide ribosomal RNA is filed under the name uncultured bacterium. RNAcentral's name for it is "bacterial SSU rRNA". It matches the Rfam family "Bacterial small subunit ribosomal RNA", at positions 627 to 1503 of the family's 1533-position model. The record is from RNAcentral.